CGUAGCUCAGCUGGUAGAGCAAUUGACUCUUAAUCAAUGGGUCCAGGGUUCGAAUCCCUGC
This 61-nucleotide transfer RNA is filed under the name bovine gut metagenome. It matches the Rfam family "tRNA", at positions 7 to 64 of the family's 71-position model. Rfam says of the family: Transfer RNA (tRNA) molecules are approximately 80 nucleotides in length. Their secondary structure includes four short double-helical elements and three loops (D, anti-codon, and T loops). The record is from RNAcentral.